UGUACAGUUUGUUAUUGAGAUGAUAGCCUUGAGGAUAGGAGAGAGAAUCAUGAGUCACCUUCCAAACAGGUUUGACUGGUGUGAGAUAAUAGUACAAACAUAUUUUAGAAACUGGUCUAAACUAGCCCGUAAGAAAGAGUGGUAGGUGUGGAUUCAAAAAAAGACCGUCACAUGCUAAGGAGAAAGGGAGCUGGACUAACAAGAAACUGUGGCUGCAACUGCCUGCGAAACAAAUACCAUGAGGACUCGCUAUGGAGGCAGCUUUGCCCAAAGAAGAAGGUCAGAGCCAGAACUUUGCAGCCAUGCUAUUCAGUAAUGAAGAUGCAAAUUGUUGUUUAAUAUUCAACUGCUGCUUCCUGUGAAGCCUGUGUGAAUAACAAACAAGAUGAUGCUGAAGAGAGAAAACUCUGACAGUGAUAAGGCAUUUUUAAGUCUGAACAAGUGACAGUGGCAAUGUUAGGAUUUCCUCAGAGAGCUUUUCCACUCGGCUUAGCCAGAACACCUCUCCAGUUCUGGGGAUAAUACUUUAGCCAGCUCUCUCGAAUCCAAGAAAUCAGCUCAACUCUGGACUCAUCACUGAGGUUUCAUUAUUGGCAUACAAUCAAACUACACUUGAGUUGAUCAGGCUCAAGUGUAGCAGGUGGGUACAGGGUAUACCCAGGGGUGAAAGUAACUGAAAGGACUUACUGGUACGCUGGAGUCCUGAGUGGGGGGGCGUGACCUCAACCAGAAGAGGUGGCUGGGGCUGGGAGCCCCAGGGCCUUUAAAUCACCCCAGAGCUACCAGCUGCAGAGGCGGCUGGGAGCCCCGGGGGUUUUGGGGCAAAAUAAAGGGCCCGGGGCCCUUUAAAGCACCUGAGCCUUGCAGCUGG
Mauremys reevesii (Reeves's turtle) is the source of this 871-nucleotide long non-coding RNA. RefSeq lists it as uncharacterized. The record is from RefSeq and is a predicted model, not a curated record. Lineage: Eukaryota; Metazoa; Chordata; Testudines; Geoemydidae. The transcript is spliced from 4 exons.